RNAcentral lists this unclassified non-coding RNA (343 nucleotides) under soil metagenome. Its description in RNAcentral is "partial contains 5.8S ribosomal RNA, internal transcribed spacer 2, and large subunit ribosomal RNA". The stretch from base 1 to 120 matches the Rfam family "5.8S ribosomal RNA", at positions 35 to 154 of the family's 154-position model. The record is from RNAcentral.
GAUGAAGAACGUAGCGAAAUGCGAUAAGUAAUGUGAAUUGCAGAAUUCAGUGAAUCAUCGAAUCUUUGAACGCACAUUGCGCCCGCCAGCAUUCUGGCGGGCAUGCCUGUUCGAGCGUCAUUUCAACCCUCGAGCCCCCCCGGGGGCCUCGGUGUUGGGGGACGGCACACCAGCCGCCCCCGAAAUGCAGUGGCGACCCCGCCGCAGCCUCCCCUGCGUAGUAGCACACACCUCGCACCGGAGCGCGGAGGCGGUCACGCCGUAAAACGCCCAACUUUCUUACAGUUGACCUCGGAUCAGGUAGGAAUACCCGCUGAACUUAAGCAUAUCAAUAAGCGGAGGA